CAUAUAUUUUAUAAGCACAUUUCUAGCUUCUGUGGUGCUUUCCUGUAUUUUGUUUAAGCUCUUGUGUACCCUGUGACUUGGUCACUGAGAGCAGCAGGAUCAGAGAGCUCUACAAACACUCGACUCAACAAAGAACAAACCACUCCUGAACAAAAAGACUAGCCAGAUCAUUGGCGGACACAAAGGGUCUCUUUGAAACAGUGGGAAAGUCAAUACAAGGCCUGGCAAGAACACCAUUACGCGGCUCUCUAACUAGCGCACACUGAAGUCCUCCGAGGCCAGCACUCUGAUGGAGGCGCUUUUCGUUUCAAGAGAAGAAAAUUAAUAUAACACUUAAGGGCGAUGAUUUAUAUGUUUCCUUGGCCACAGACCUUUCGUCUAAUGGAACACCGCGCAAGUUUAUGCUUUCACGAAAUACGUUUUGAUAAAUAACUUUCUAACCCAAAUUGUCGAUUCUUUUAAAUACUUGAACUUUUUGCGCGUGAUAUUUGAACCCUAAAGAACGCAAUUUUAUCACGAUAGCUGAAAUUAGUCGCGGAGUCACUUGCAGCGUUCAGAGCACAGUUAGAGUUUUGUGGAUAAUUUCGUUAGUACACCGUCUCCAAAUUCCAACUCUCGCUAAUUAAUAAUUUUGCCAAUUGCAGACACCAAUUUUCCAAUAAAUUGCAUUAUCGGAUUUCCAUUGCCAGUGGAUCUUUUGAUCUUGGAACAAGAACACUUGCUUUGGAAGGAAGAAAAUUGACACAUGCGCUGUCGAAUGUAGCCGCGAAGCCGCAAACAGUGGAGAAACUGUUAAGACGUGAAUUAUGGUCACACAAGUAGACAAGAACUGCCACAUUAGCGAGACGAGCAGGAAGAAAAUCCCGUAUUAGAAUAAAAGCAUUGAAAGAAAUCCCAGAAUUUGUUGAACGUCUUCAGACAAUGCUACUUAUUCGUGGUCACGAAUCAAGAGUAAACACAGAUGGUCAAGUCGGGCCAUUGAUCAGAGAGGCAGCAACACGCCUACUGGAUCUAAUGGUACACACACAGACAGCCCUGAUUUUAGACGAAAUUAUAAACGUAUUUUUCUAUGUCAUAUUAUUCAGUUGGUGUUUGGUCGCUUUCUUGUUGUAUGUAUCGUUGUAUUAAAAUAGUAUUAAGAUUGGUUUUGUCGGUGCAUCAUCAAGAAAGGCCAUGAACUGAGAAAAGAUAAUGAUUGUUUUUUUCUGGGGGUUUUCAGGAUUUUUUUUUUUUUUUCAUUUUCAAGUACAAUGUAUGUGUUUUAAAUCGAAAUGGACAGAUUUGAUAUCGUGUUUUUGUGACAAGCCUGAUUAUUGCGCGAGUGUAGAAAAAUAAUAAGUGCUUUUGAAAAUAUAUA
Gigantopelta aegis is the source of this 1357-nucleotide long non-coding RNA. RefSeq lists it as uncharacterized. The record is from RefSeq and is a predicted model, not a curated record. Lineage: Eukaryota; Metazoa; Mollusca; Gastropoda; Neomphalida; Peltospiridae. The transcript has 3 exons.